GUGCUCGCUUCAGCAGCACAUAAUACUAAAAUUGGAACGAUGCAGAGAUUAGCAUGGCCUCUGCGCAAGGAUGACAAGCAAAUUUGUGAAUCAUUCCAUAUUUAA
Molecule: small nuclear RNA, 105 nt
Organism: Homo sapiens (human)
Lineage: Eukaryota; Metazoa; Chordata; Mammalia; Primates; Hominidae
Source: Ensembl